UUCAGAUGCCAAUACCUCAUGUGAGAGAUCCAAUGCUCAAUCUAGUGGCAGCUCUGAUUCUGAAGGUGAAGAUGAUGCCACUUCCUCAAAUUAAGUGGUAAUGGUUCCCCUUGAAAUGAAGACUGUAUGUGCUGUGAUGAAGACUGGGUUGGUGUGGCUGUUGUGUGUGCUGUUAUGAAAGUUGGUCCCCCUGCUGUUUUGGCUACUUUGGAUGCUGAAGAAUUUGUUUUUUUUUCU
RNAcentral lists this long non-coding RNA (237 nucleotides) under Lathyrus oleraceus (garden pea). RNAcentral's name for it is "Pisum sativum (pea) long non-coding RNA (PSAT_LNC006249)". Lineage: Eukaryota; Viridiplantae; Streptophyta; Magnoliopsida; Fabales; Fabaceae. The record is from RNAcentral.